AGGAGUUUGAUCCUGGCUCAGAACGAACGCUGGCGGCAUGCCUAACACAUGCAAGUCGAACGAGACCUUCGGGUCUAGUGGCGCACGGGUGCGUAACGCGUGGGAAUCUGCCCUUGGGUUCGGAAUAACAGUUAGAAAUGACUGCUAAUACCGGAUAAUGUCUUCGGACCAAAGAUUUAUCGCCCAGGGAUGAGCCCGCGUAGGAUUAGCUAGUUGGUGAGGUAAAGGCUCACCAAGGCGACGAUCCUUAGCUGGUCUGAGAGGAUGAUCAGCCACACUGGGACUGAGACACGGCCCAGACUCCUACGGGAGGCAGCAGUGGGGAAUAUUGGACAAUGGGCGAAAGCCUGAUCCAGCAAUGCCGCGUGAGUGAUGAAGGCCUUAGGGUUGUAAAGCUCUUUACCCGGGAUGAUAAUGACAGUACCGGGAGAAUAAGCCCCGGCUAACUCCGUG
Molecule: ribosomal RNA, 453 nt
Filed under: uncultured bacterium
Lineage: Bacteria
Description: bacterial SSU rRNA
Rfam family: Bacterial small subunit ribosomal RNA
Source: RNAcentral